This 253-nucleotide ribosomal RNA is filed under the name uncultured bacterium. Its description in RNAcentral is "partial 16S ribosomal RNA". It matches the Rfam family "Bacterial small subunit ribosomal RNA", at positions 524 to 776 of the family's 1533-position model. The record is from RNAcentral.
UACGUAGGGGGCAAGCGUUGUUCGGAAUUACUGGGCGUAAAGCGUGCGCAGGCGGCUUCUCAAGUCAGGGGUGAAAGCCCAGAGCUUAACUCUGGAAUUGCCUUUGAGACUGAGAGGCUUGAGUACGGGAGAGGUGAGUGGAAUUCCCAGUGUAGAGGUGAAAUUCGUAGAUAUUGGGAGGAACACCAGUGGCGAAGGCGGCUCACUGGACCGGUACUGACGCUGAUGCGCGAAAGCGUGGGGAGCAAACGGG